GCGUGGGAACGUGCCCUUUAGUACGGAAUAGCCAUUGGAAACGAUGAUUAAUACCGUAUACGCCCCAAGGGGGAAAGAUUUAUCGCUAAAGGAUCGGCCCGCGUUAGAUUAGGUAGUUGGUAGGGUAACGGCCUACCAAGCCGACGAUCUAUAGCUGGUUUGAGAGGAUGAUCAGCAACACUGGG
RNAcentral lists this ribosomal RNA (185 nucleotides) under uncultured Alphaproteobacteria bacterium. Its description in RNAcentral is "partial 16S ribosomal RNA". It matches the Rfam family "Bacterial small subunit ribosomal RNA", at positions 115 to 317 of the family's 1533-position model. Lineage: Bacteria; Pseudomonadati; Pseudomonadota; Alphaproteobacteria. The record is from RNAcentral.